UGGGGAAUAUUGGACAAUGGGCGAAAGCCUGAUCCAGCUAUGCCGCGUGAGUGACCAGAAGGCCUUAGGGUUGUAAAGCUCUUUCAGUAGUGAAGAUAAUGACGGUAGCUACAGAAGAAGCCCCGGCUAACUUCGUGCCAGCAGCCGCGGUAAUACGAAGGGGGCGAGCGUUGUUCGGAAUCACUGGGCGUAAAGGGCGCGUAGGCGGAUUGGCAAGUCAGAGGUGAAAUCCUAGAGCUUAACUCUAGAAGUGCCUUUGAUACUGCUAGUCUAGAGAUUAGGAGAGGCAAGCGGAAUUCCGAGUGUAGAGGUGAAAUUCGUAGAUAUUCGGAGGAACACCAGUGGCGAAGGCGGCUUGCUGGCCUGAUUCUGACGCUGAGGCGCGAAAGCGUGGGGAGCAAACAGG
Molecule: ribosomal RNA, 406 nt
Filed under: uncultured bacterium
Lineage: Bacteria
Description: bacterial SSU rRNA
Rfam family: Bacterial small subunit ribosomal RNA
Source: RNAcentral